This 254-nucleotide ribosomal RNA is filed under the name uncultured bacterium. RNAcentral describes it as "partial 16S ribosomal RNA". It matches the Rfam family "Bacterial small subunit ribosomal RNA", at positions 524 to 776 of the family's 1533-position model. The record is from RNAcentral.
CACGUAGGGGGCGAGCGUUGUCCGGAUUUAUUGGGCGUAAAGAGCUCGUAGGCGGUUCGAUAAGUCGGGUGUGAAAACUCUGGGCUCAACUCAGAGACGCCACCCGAUACUGUUGUGACUUGAGUCCGGUAGGGGAGUAUGGAAUUCCCGGUGUAGCGGUGAAAUGCGCAGAUAUCAGGAGGAACACCGAUGGCGAAGGCAGUUCUCUGGGCCGUAACUGACGCUGAGGAGCGAAAGCGUGGGGAGCGAACAGG